UGCCAGCCGCCGCGGUAAUACGGAGGGUGCAAGCGUUAAUCGGAAUUACUGGGCGUAAAGCGCGCGUAGGCGGCUCGUUAAGUCAGAUGUGAAAGCCCCGGGCUUAACCUGGGAAUGGCAUUUGAUACUGGCGAGCUAGAGUGUGACAGAGGAUUGGGGAAUUCCCGGUGUAGCGGUGAAAUGCGUAGAUAUUCGGAAGGAACACCGGUGGCGAAGGCGACUUCCUGGGCCAAUACUGACGCUGAGGCGCGAAAGCGUGGGUAGCAAACAGGAUUAGAUA
Molecule: ribosomal RNA, 280 nt
Filed under: uncultured bacterium
Lineage: Bacteria
Description: partial 16S ribosomal RNA
Rfam family: Bacterial small subunit ribosomal RNA
Source: RNAcentral